UAACCUGCCCAAGAGAUCGGGAUAACACCUGGAAACAGAUGCUAAUACCGGAUAACAACAGAUGAUGCCUAUCAACUGUUUAAAAGAAUGGUUCUGCUAUCACUCUUGGAUGGACCUGCGGUGCAUUAGCUAGUUGGUAGGGUAACGGCCUACCAAGGCGAUGAUGCAUAGCCGAGUUGAGAGACUGAUCGGCCACAUUGGGACUGAGACACGGCCCAAACUCCUACGGGAGGCAGCAGCU
This 241-nucleotide ribosomal RNA is filed under the name uncultured Lactobacillus sp. Its description in RNAcentral is "partial 16S ribosomal RNA". It matches the Rfam family "Bacterial small subunit ribosomal RNA", at positions 122 to 355 of the family's 1533-position model. Lineage: Bacteria; Bacillati; Bacillota; Bacilli; Lactobacillales; Lactobacillaceae. The record is from RNAcentral.